Molecule: transfer RNA, 74 nt
Filed under: Actinomycetes bacterium
Lineage: Bacteria; Bacillati; Actinomycetota; Actinomycetes
Description: tRNA-Lys
Rfam family: tRNA
About the family: Transfer RNA (tRNA) molecules are approximately 80 nucleotides in length. Their secondary structure includes four short double-helical elements and three loops (D, anti-codon, and T loops).
Source: RNAcentral
GGGUCGCUAGCUCAGUUGGUAGAGCAACGGACUUUUAAUCCGCAGGUCCCGGGUUCGAGCCCCGGGCGACCCAC